Molecule: long non-coding RNA, 172 nt
Organism: Mauremys reevesii (Reeves's turtle)
Lineage: Eukaryota; Metazoa; Chordata; Testudines; Geoemydidae
Exons: 2
Source: RefSeq, a predicted model, not a curated record
GGAAGAGUUUGGUGAUUUCUGUAAAGGGCUGACAGAGGACAGCUGCAGAGUGGAGGUUGAUGGUUUCCCAUAGGCUUCAUGGCAGCGGUGUCUCUUGAAGAAGGAUUUGAAGGAGGACAAAGUAAUGACUUUAUAAACAGAUUCAUAUCCAGAGAAGAGUGGUGAUGUGGGU